AGCAGCUAGCAGCCAGGAGACAGAUAACAUGACCUUACCCACAGCACAGAUCCACACAAAGCUAGGGUGAGCUUCCUCCCACUGAGUAAGGGGGCAUGACUUUUCUGGUUAUACCAGAGGUUAACAAUUAGUUAUUUCUGUGAGGUGUUACUUUGGAACUUUAAGUGCGCAAUCACAUGUAACAUGUCCAUGUUUUCUACAUUCCUGGUAAUCGCCCAGAAUUAGAAUCACCCACAACUGCUUUGGCCUGGAUCAGACUUAUAAGCCUUCAGAAGCAUACAUACAAGAUGAUAUUGAGUACUGCCCUGGGAACAUAGAAGCACAUCGAUGAUGUUCACUACAUGUUGGUUCCCAGUGAAGAUAAAAGUCAGCCCUUAGAAAAUAUACUAUUGAAGUGGCAAUCAAUGGAUAAUUGACAUCAGGUGAGAAGAGGAAGGAGACUUCUGAUCCAUCUCCUACUGCUCAUGUUCUCUGAAGGAAGGCUGCUACAAUCCAGCCUGGCACUAAGUUAACUUCCAUCUUCUGCUGAUAGGUUGAUCUCCUGCCUCUCAGUUUUUGAAGUGCAAUACCACCUUCCCUCUGCCUGUCCCCUGAAGAAGGAAGAAAUGGGGUUUUGUUUCCUGAAAGUUUGAUACGGAGCUACAGAGGUGACAAAAGAUUGGCCCUAUGCCCUGGAAAUUAACUGGCUGACUAUUAGAUCAACGUCAAAUAAGGUUCAUCUUGAAGAUGGGGGACAGUACCUCAGGGAUUCCAGAUACAUUAGCAAAGCAAGCAGCAAAGCACCUAGAGAGAGAGAAAAGCAGAGAAAGAAGAGCAUCACUCUGAAAUCAGGGAUUUUCUCAAGGAAUUCCCAAUCAGGAUCCAAGUGUCACGUGCACCUGAACCCAAGAGAAGAAAUCAACCCCCCCACACCCACAUCAUUCCCCAGAAAGAAUUUACCAAUGGAAGAAGGAGACUGGCAUGGCAGAAGAAUAUGGUAGAUUGAAAAGGCUACAAAAUGGAGGAUUAAUGUUCCAGGUGAAGAGUCUCCAGAUUUUGAUGGAAAUUCUAAGGAAAGACUCCAGCUGAAAGGUAGUGUGAAGUCUGGAAAGUGAGAAGCAGUAAA
Sarcophilus harrisii (Tasmanian devil) is the source of this 1105-nucleotide long non-coding RNA. RefSeq lists it as uncharacterized. The transcript has 7 exons. Lineage: Eukaryota; Metazoa; Chordata; Mammalia; Dasyuromorphia; Dasyuridae. The record is from RefSeq and is a predicted model, not a curated record.